UACGUAGGGUGCAAGCGUUGUCCGGAAUUAUUGGGCGUAAAGAGCUCGUAGGCGGUCUGUUGCGUCGGCUGUGAAAACCCGGGGCUCAACUCCGGGCCUGCAGCCGAUACGGGCAGACUAGAGUUCGGCAGGGGAGACUGGAAUUCCUGGUGUAGUGGUGAAAUACGUAGAGAUUGGGAAGAACACCAGUGGCGAAGGCGGCUAUCUGGACGGUUUCUGACGCUAAGACGCGAAAGCGUGGGGAGCAAACAGG
RNAcentral lists this ribosomal RNA (253 nucleotides) under uncultured bacterium. RNAcentral describes it as "partial 16S ribosomal RNA". It matches the Rfam family "Bacterial small subunit ribosomal RNA", at positions 524 to 776 of the family's 1533-position model. The record is from RNAcentral.